UAGACCCGGGGGUCUCACCUGGGGCAAUUCUGUCCCAGGGACACGGGGCCACAACUGGGGAUGUCUGUGGUCCCUAGGACUUGGGGGCUCCAGCGUCGAGCACAUGGGGCCGGGGAGGCCGCUCCACACCCCACGGUGCCCAGGAUGCCCCACAGACGGUGAGCCCCCCAUGGCAGCAGGCGGGGCUGGGGAGCCCCAAUGGAGGGACCUAGGCUUGUCUCUGAAGGCCUGGGGCCUCACGAAGCCAGCGCCGCACUCACCGCACUCCCAGCAGAGGGAGAGGGCUGAGCACCUGACCCCACCGGGCGCACCCCAGCCUGCAGAAAAGCUGUGCAUCUUCCGGCCUGCAGAAAAGCUGAAGACCCUGCAGAGGGCGGCGGUAUGCCCCACCUCCAGAGCUGGCAGGUUGGCGCUUUGCACAUUCCCUGCCUGUUCUGGACGUUUCCCAUCCAUGGAGUCACACCCUGUGUGUCCUUCUGUGUCUGGCUUCUCUCACUGAGCAUCCUGUUCUCAAGGUCCGUCCACGUGGUGGCGAGUGUCAGGGCUUCUCUCCUUUUCAGGCUGAGUGACGUUCCCAUGUGUGGAGAGACCACAUGGCAUUUGUCCAUUUAUCCGUCGAGGGACACAUGGGCUGUCCCGGCGCCCUCGGCUGCUGAGGGUGCACAGCUGCCCUCUGGCCGCCGCCUUCCCGCAGUUCAGCUGCGGAAGGAUUUCGGCAUCACACCUCCAGCAGCGCUACCGGAGGCUGCAGUUUUAUCUGUGCCAUCCUCCAGACAAAGACAUCAGCAACAGGGUGAGGAAAUCUUGAAACGCCAGGACACCUUAAAGCUCAGCCCCCACGAGGCCCAGGGAGGGUUUCCGUUGACAGCAGCGCCCCAGGUGUUCAGGACACUGUGCAUCACAACUGUGCAGGGGAAGAAUCUCUUGAAUUCUCUGCCAUCUCAGCGGGGGAGGCUGAGGAGAGGCUGGAUCAUCUCUCACUUUCAGAUGCUUUGUUUUGUCCUGUUUUUACCUAUCGGACUUGUUCGCUAGGAAAGAUCACCAGCCCCCGGCCACAUUCAUCUGGGGGAACCGCCUGUCACUUUUCCAGGGAGAGCAGUAGUUAAGAAGGAGAAGCCAAAGGAGGUCAGAGGGCAGCUGCUUCUGUAAAUCCCUUCCGGGCACGUCUGCCCUUGAAGCAGGAGCUGGACUGGCGGGUGAGUCCCAGGGCCCCCCGCCUGCAGGGAGCCUCCCUGGCUCCCAGCUUGGCGUCUGCCCUGACCACCCUACCACCACCGGCCACGUCAGUCUACCCCAGCGCUAAAGGAACCAACCACCCGACCCUCUGUACCAUCUCCUGGGGCCGCUGCAGCGGAGCGCCACAAGCUAGGCUGCUUACAUAGCAGAAAUUAUGUUCUCACGGUUCUGAAGGCCACAAGUCUGAGACGGGGUGUCGGCAGGGCUGUGCUCACUCCGUGGGGGGGGGGGCCUUCCCACCCCUCCCAGCUCCUGGUGUGGCCCACGGUCCUUGGUGUCCUGGACCUGUGGUCCCAUCACCCCAUCCUCUGUCUCCGAUUUUUUAUUUUAUUUUUAUUUUUUAAAGAUUUUUUUUGAUACGGACCAUUUUUAAAGUCUUUAUUGAAUUUGUUACAAUAUGGCUUCUGUUUUACGUUUUGGUUUUUUGGCCCAGAGGCAUGUGGGAUCUUAGUGCCCUGACCAGGGAUCAAACCCACACCCCCUGCAUUGGAAGGUGGAGUCUCUACCACUGUACCACCAGGGAAGUCCCUGUGUCUGUCUCUUAUAAGGUCAUUGGAUUCAAGGCCAUCCUCAUCCAGGAUGAGCUCAUGUCAAGACCCUUAAUUUAGUUAUAUCUGCAAAGACGUUUUUUCCAAAUAAGGAAGGCCCCAUUCUCAGGUCUGGAAGCAACCGCUGCACCAUCCUGUCCCCCCAGUCCCACGCCUUCCCUGCCCAGGACCCUCUCCCCACAGCCCCGGACCUGUCUACAACACACGGAAGAUAGAAGACUAAGGCCCUCCCUCUCUCGGAUCCCUCCCAGGGCUCCUCAGCAUAAAAUCCACACCCUCACCACCAGUCACCACCUGGGGAAGGGCUGGAUUUCAAACUCCACCCCUUCAGAAAAAUGCACUGAAAACCUUAAGCUGGGGGCUUCUCUGGCGGCGCAGUGGUUAAGAAUCCGCCUGCCAAUGCAGGGCACACCGGUUCGAGCCAGCGCCCUGGUCCGGGAAGAUCCCACAUGCCACGGAGCAAGUAAGCCAGUGAGCCACAACUACUGAAGCCCGUGCUCUGCAACAAAGAGAAGCCCACCACAGUGAGAAGCCCGCGCACCACAAGGAAGAGUAGCCCUCGCUCGCCACAACUAGAGAAAGCCAGCAGGCAGCAACAAAGACCCAACACAGCCACAAAUAAAUAAAUAAA
This is a long non-coding RNA of Orcinus orca (killer whale), 2415 nucleotides long. RefSeq lists it as uncharacterized. The transcript is spliced from 2 exons. Lineage: Eukaryota; Metazoa; Chordata; Mammalia; Artiodactyla; Delphinidae. The record is from RefSeq and is a predicted model, not a curated record.